UAUGUAUUUUAUCGAAAGGUUUAUCGAAAGGUUUAUCAAAUAACAAAAAAAAAAAAGAGUUAAUAAGAGUUUAUCCUUAAUUAGACCCGGCACAGCAUAUGAUUUGUCUAUUUAGCAAUAGAAAAGAAUAUAAUUCUAUGGGACAUUAAUAGUACGUGUUAGCAACUAAUUUAAUGAAAUUGAGAAAGCAAAAAGAAAAUUGCAUCUUCUUGAGAUUAUUGUUUAUUAAGAAAUAAGGAUCAUUUUAUAAUUUCAUAAUUAAAAUCACUAUAUCAAUACCAUAAUUAAACACGAAUUAUGUAAAUGAAAAAUAAGAUAAAUAAAUUUAACAAAAAAAUUAUAAAUCAAGAUUAAAUAUAAAAUAAAACAAAAAUUAUAUAAAUAAAACUCAAGAGUUGUAAUUUGGAGGUAAAUAAGUAAAUUAAUAUUGGAGUGCUAAAUUGAUAUAUUAUUUGUAAAUAAAAUAAAAGCUUACAAAUAUAACAUAAAACUUGUAAAUCAACUUAAGUGUAAAAUAAAAUAAAAUUUGUGUAAAUGAAACUUAAGACAUGUAAAUGGAAGGUAAAAUAAGUAAAUCAAUAUAAUAGUGGUAAAUUGAUGUGUUAUUGGUAAACAAAUAAGAACUUAGAGAUCUAACAUAAAAAUUGUAAAUCAAUAAUAAGUGUAAAAUAAAAUAUAAAUGGUGGAAUUGGAAGGUAAAAAAAAAGUAAUUUAACAUAUAAGUGUCAAAUUGGUGUAUCAAUGGUAAACCAAUCAAACACUUACAAAUAUAGCAUAAAAGUAAAUGAAACAUAAUCCUUGCAAAUGGAAAGUAAAAUAAGUAAAUUAAUAUAGGAAUGGUAAAUUGAUGUAUUAAUGAUAAACAAAACAAAACAUAAAACUUACAAAUCAACAUUAAGUGUAAAAUAAAACAAAAUGUAAAUAAAACAUGAGAUUUGUAAAUUGAGGGUAAAACAAGUAAAUUAACUUAAGAUUAGUAAAUUGGUGUGUUAUUGAUAAACAAAACAAAAGCUAAUAAAUAUAACAUAAAAAUUGUAGAUCAACACUAAGUGUAAAAAAAAAACAUAAAUUACGUAAAUAGAACAUAAGACUUGUAAAUAGAGGUAAAACAAGUAAAUUAACAUAAAAAUGAUAAAUUAGUGCACUAUUGGUAAACGUAAUAAAAACUGAUAAAUAUAACAUAAAAUUUGUAAAUCAACAUUAAGUAUAAAAUAAAACAUAAAUUAUGUAUAUUGAACAUUUAACUUAUAAAUAGAAGGUAA
This 1262-nucleotide long non-coding RNA is filed under the name Citrus x clementina. Its description in RNAcentral is "Citrus clementina (C. clementina) long non-coding RNA (CCLE_LNC006615)". The record is from RNAcentral. Lineage: Eukaryota; Viridiplantae; Streptophyta; Magnoliopsida; Sapindales; Rutaceae.